RNAcentral lists this ribosomal RNA (775 nucleotides) under uncultured Neocallimastigales. RNAcentral's name for it is "partial large subunit ribosomal RNA". It matches the Rfam family "Eukaryotic large subunit ribosomal RNA", at positions 24 to 645 of the family's 3401-position model. Lineage: Eukaryota; Fungi; Neocallimastigomycota; Neocallimastigomycetes; Neocallimastigales. The record is from RNAcentral.
GUAGUCUCGCACAGAUGCAUAUCAAUAAGCGGAGGAAAAGAAACUAACAAGGAUUCCCCUAGUAACGGCGAGUGAAGCGGGAAGAGCUCAAAUUUGAAAUCUUAAAGGGUUUCCCUUUACGAAUUGUAGUUUAAAGAAGUGUUUUCUGUUGAGGUUUUGGUAAAAGUUCUUUGGAAUAGGACAUCAUAGAGGGUGAGAAUCCCGUAUUUGACCUUUACUUUCAACUUUGUGAUACACUUUCAAAGAGUCGGAUUGUUUGGGAAUGCAGUCCAAAAUGGGUGGUAAAUUUCAUCUAAAGCUAAAUAUUGGCGAGAGACCGAUAGCGUACAAGUACCGUGAGGGAAAGAUGAAAAGAACUUUGAAAAGAGAGUUAAACAGUACGUGAAAUUGUCAAAAGGGAAGCGCUUUGACACCAGUGUUGUUUUUCUGAAAAUCAAUUAAAGAACUGUUUAUGCUAAGCUGUUUAGACUUUAUCAGCUAACUGUUUAGUUUUGAGCUUUUCUUUAAUGCACUUUUCAGUUAACAAGUCAACAUCAAUUUCUUUUGCUGUAAAAAAGCUUGAGGAAGGUGGCUUGAGAUUCGUCUUAAGUGUUUAUAGCCUCUUGCCUAUGCAGUCGGAGAGAUUGAGGUCUGCAGCGUAGAUCCUUCGGGGCUAAAUGCAUUUGUGCUAAGUUAUAGCAUUUUAUAGACAACUUGUUGACUAUGAUUUGUCUUGUAGCUUACUCGCUUAUGUUAUUUUACCUACGCUUAGGAUGUUGAUCUGUAGUGCGUGCGC